GGAAGAAUAAGCACCGGCUAACUACGUGCCAGCAGCCGCGGUAAUACGUAGGGUGCGAGCGUUAAUCGGAAUUACUGGGCGUAAAGCGUGCGCAGGCGGUCUUGUAAGACAGUCGUGAAAGCCCCGGGCUUAACCUGGGAACUGCGAUUGUGACUGCAAGGCUAGAGUGUGUCAGAGGGGGGUGGAAUUCCACGUGUAGCAGUGAAAUGCGUAGAGAUGUGGAGGAACACCGAUGGCGAAGGCAGCCCCCUGGGAUAACACUGACGCUCAUGCACGAAAGCGUGGGGAGCAAAACAGGAUUAGAUACCCUGGUAGUCCACGCCCUAAACGAUGUCAACUGGUUGUUGGAAGGGUAACCUUUUAGUAACGAAGCUAACGCGUGAAGUUGACCGCCUGGGGGAGUACGGUCGCAAGAUUAAAACUCAAAGGAAUU
RNAcentral lists this ribosomal RNA (433 nucleotides) under uncultured bacterium. RNAcentral's name for it is "bacterial SSU rRNA". It matches the Rfam family "Bacterial small subunit ribosomal RNA", at positions 480 to 911 of the family's 1533-position model. The record is from RNAcentral.